RNAcentral lists this ribosomal RNA (500 nucleotides) under uncultured bacterium. RNAcentral's name for it is "partial 16S ribosomal RNA". It matches the Rfam family "Bacterial small subunit ribosomal RNA", at positions 30 to 523 of the family's 1533-position model. The record is from RNAcentral.
AUUGAACGCUGGCGGCAUGCUUUACACAUGCAAGUCGAACGGUAACAGGGUGCUUGCACCGCUGACGAGUGGCGAACGGGUGAGUAAUGCGUCGGAACGUGCCGAGUAGUGGGGGAUAACGCAGCGAAAGUUGUGCUAAUACCGCAUACGUACUGAGGUAGAAAGUGGGGGACCUUCGGGCCUCACGCUAUUCGAGCGGCCGACGUCUGAUUAGCUAGUAGGUGAGGUAAAGGCUCACCUAGGCGACGAUCAGUAGCGGGUCUGAGAGGAUGAUCCGCCACACUGGGACUGAGACACGGCCCAGACUCCUACGGGAGGCAGCAGGGGGGAAUUUUGGACAAUGGGCGAAAGCCUGAUCCAGCCAUGCCGCGUGUCUGAAGAAGGCCUUCGGGUUGUAAAGGACUUUUGUCAGGGAGGAAAUCCCUAGUGCUAAUAACACUGGGGGAUGACAGUACCUGAAGAAUAAGCACUGGCUAACUACGUGCCAGCCGCCGCAGUAA